This is a long non-coding RNA of Malaclemys terrapin pileata, 332 nucleotides long. RefSeq lists it as uncharacterized. The transcript has 2 exons. The record is from RefSeq and is a predicted model, not a curated record. NCBI's taxonomy places the organism in Eukaryota, Metazoa, Chordata, Testudines, Emydidae.
UGCUGCUGCAAGUCUUACGCCCCGAACCCGCAGGGCCGAGAUAGCGCCAGAUUCAAGGAAUCCAGCCCCCCGCUGGCACCCGACUGCACUCGGUUCGUUGCAGGACGUGGCCCUAAUCCUGGGGUAAAAAUGGUGACAAGGAUGCAGUUUGACUUUAAAUCUGCUCCACCAAAAUAAGGUUUUCCACUCUCACAUGGUCUCAGGGGUCAACUUCUGGGAAACCGCCUCAUUUCCUGGGAACUUCAGAGAAAGAAGCACAAAGAAACUGGUUCACAAAACCAAACCCAAAUCCACUUCCAAGCGGGAGAGUAUUAAAACUACUUUGCACCAUA